RNAcentral lists this ribosomal RNA (492 nucleotides) under uncultured bacterium. RNAcentral's name for it is "partial 16S ribosomal RNA". It matches the Rfam family "Bacterial small subunit ribosomal RNA", at positions 29 to 507 of the family's 1533-position model. The record is from RNAcentral.
AGUGAACGCUGGCGGUAGGCCUAACACAUGCAAGUCGAACGGCAGCACAGUAAGAGCUUGCUCUUACGGGUGGCGAGUGGCGGACGGGUGAGGAAUACAUCGGAAUCUACUUUUUCGUGGGGGAUAACGUGGGGAAACUUACGCUAAUACCGCAUACGACCUACGGGUGAAAGCAGGGGAUCUUCGGACCUUGCGCGAUUGAAUGAGCCGAUGUCGGAUUAGCUAGUUGGCGGGGUAAAGGCCCACCAAGGCGACGAUCCGUAGCUGGUCUGAGAGGAUGAUCAGCCACACUGGAACUGAGACACGGUCCAGACUCCGACGGGAGGCAGCAGUGGGGAAUAUUGGACAAUGGGCGCAAGCCUGAUCCAGCCAUACCGCGUGGGUGAAGAAGGCCUUCGGGUUGUAAAGCCCUUUUGUUGGGAAAGAAAAGCAGCAGGUUAAUACCCCGCUGUUCUGACGGUACCCAAAGAAUAAGCACCGGCUAACUUCGUG